RNAcentral lists this transfer RNA (84 nucleotides) under Bacilli bacterium. Its description in RNAcentral is "tRNA-Leu". It matches the Rfam family "tRNA". Rfam says of the family: Transfer RNA (tRNA) molecules are approximately 80 nucleotides in length. Their secondary structure includes four short double-helical elements and three loops (D, anti-codon, and T loops). Further hydrogen bonds mediate the characteristic L-shaped molecular structure. tRNAs have two regions of fundamental functional importance: the anti-codon, which is responsible for specific mRNA codon recognition, and the 3' end, to which the tRNAs corresponding amino acid is attached (by aminoacyl-tRNA synthetases). tRNAs cope with the degeneracy of the genetic code in two manners: having more than one tRNA (with a specific anti-codon) for a particular amino acid; and 'wobble' base-pairing, i.e. permitting non-standard base-pairing at the 3rd anti-codon position. The record is from RNAcentral. Lineage: Bacteria; Bacillati; Bacillota; Bacilli.
GCGGGUAUGGCGGAAUUGGCAGACGCGCUAGACUUAGGAUCUAGUGUCUAUGACGUGCAGGUUCAACUCCUGUUACCCGCACCA